GGGUACCGAGAAUACAGAAGCUUCACCGGCUUUGUAACUUAUCCGAACCUUGUUCUAAUAUUAGGAUAUGAUUCUAAUAGAAAAGAAGACGCACAAAGGGCACACUUCCUAUAUGAUUUAAAAGACUCGAAGAGAAGAGGGUCUCGUAACAAUUUAUAUAUAUUCCUAGCAAUAUCAAAGCGGUAAAAAGCGACAUUUAGCACAUUAAGCUCAAACACAUAAAAAUCAGAUAAUAAGUAAAAGCCAACUAUAGCAGUUAUUCUAAGCUUGAGUUCUAAACCC
Molecule: long non-coding RNA, 282 nt
Filed under: Nicotiana benthamiana
Lineage: Eukaryota; Viridiplantae; Streptophyta; Magnoliopsida; Solanales; Solanaceae
Description: long non-coding RNA (NBEN_LNC041507)
Source: RNAcentral